Contarinia nasturtii (swede midge) is the source of this 1775-nucleotide long non-coding RNA. RefSeq lists it as uncharacterized. The record is from RefSeq and is a predicted model, not a curated record. NCBI's taxonomy places the organism in Eukaryota, Metazoa, Arthropoda, Insecta, Diptera, Cecidomyiidae. The transcript is spliced from 5 exons.
GUAAGUUCAGCCAUGACAAAGUGAUUGAAAUAUAAAAUAAAAGUAAAAAAUGCAAAGUUUUGAGUGUCCAAAAAAAAAAUUUAAUACGUUCACAACAUGUAAUCGUUCAAGAUCAAUGAUUUUGUUAAUUUCUUCAAACUAUAGUCAUAAAAGUGCGCCUAACUUUGUUUUGUUUUCAAAAGGAUUCGCUUUUUCAAUUAAUGUGUUCAUCUGUUCAAUGCUUCUUUCAGAAUAAUCAUAUCGUUUUCACUCUUGUCGACAACGUGAAGCAAAUUGUUUGGUUCAGUUUCAUACUUUGUAAAAUUGCAAUCUUGAUCCACGAAUCAUAUUUACACGACAUUUUUAACAUAGUCUCCGACUUGUUUUCGAACCAAAUGCGUAAUUUUUAAUUCCCAGAAAGAAUUUACAAUACAAUUAUAUCCCGAAUGAAAUGGUAUUUUGAUUUUGUUCUACUUAUAAGUAUACUGUCAUCAAUAAUUUUACAACGAGCAGAGAAAGAUAAAUAACGAGAAAGAGAAAAAACACUUACCAUUAGACAAAAAUAUAAUUUUAUUGAUUACAGAAUACUGAAGAGCAUUUAGAAUAUGGCCUGCAAUUAUGGAAUAAAUUGCACAAAGAGACACAACUAUUUCAAAGUGGAACAUGUUUAGGUGUGUUGGCCAUAAAUCUGGGUCAGCCAAAAAUCUUUAAAGCAAUUUUUGGUUGACCCAUAUUUAUGGCCAACACACCUUAAAAUUGCUUUAGAGAUUUUAGAAUCCAACAUACAACCACAUUUUCCAUCAGUUGUGCUGCCUCUGCAAAAUGGCCACUAUCGGCAAGUACAUUAGCCGAACAAACUAUUGUGGCCAUUUUGCAGAGGCAACACAACUAAUUCAAGAAAGUAAAAAUGAUUACCCAAAAUUCAACAUAUAAGCUAGCGUGGUUGAAGAGAUUAGAGAAAGUUUAAAGAAUUAUCCAACGACGGAGGACAAAACCAAGUAUGUUAUUACUUACUACCUACUUUGCAGAAAAUGAGCCGAUAUCGUCAUAACCGUAUUUUUCUCGAAAGCGGACAAUUUCUUUGGUAUUUAAAAUUUUAAAGGAAUUUACGAUACAAUUAUUUCCCGAAUGAAAUGGUAUUUUGGUUUUGUUCUACUUAUAAGUAUACUGUUUGAUUAAUUUAUUGUUUAAAUCAACUUAAAGGCAUUUCGAUACCACUUACAAGCAAAACAAUUACAUUCGGCACUCUUGAAAUUCUCUAAGUUAUCGAAUAAUUUCUAUAAAAAGAAGUUAAAAAUGAAUUUUUUAAAAUACAAAUCAAUAAUUUAUCAAGUGCAGAAGCAGUCGAUGAUCGGAUCGGUGAGAACUUUGUUCAGCAAAAGAUUCUUAGGAAUCAAAGAUUAUGAAAUACGAUGAUCGACACAAGUACCGUUUGUUUCAACGACUGCGGAAAUGGAAACGGAAGCGGGAAAAGCGGCCAGGAUUAUGAAGUAUUGGUGUCAUACAAUAGGAAAUACUUCAUAAUCCUGGCUGUUUUUCCCGCUUCUUUCUCUAAGAAUGUGUGAAAAAAUUUCUCCAAAUGACAAUGUGUCUAUAUAUCAUCCAUAACGAUCCAGCACAAAUGAAGGCCUUCUCGUUUGGGCCUUGUUAAAAAAAAACUACAUGAAUACCUUUGGUAAUGAGGAUGUUGUAUUACCAUAAUUUGCCGUACCAAGCGUUGAAGAUUCCUGAGCCCAAUCCACGAAAACAAUAUUUUUCUUUUUGGAAAAUUCGUCCAGGAAAAUUAUUUUUCUUGU